RNAcentral lists this ribosomal RNA (465 nucleotides) under uncultured bacterium. RNAcentral's name for it is "partial 16S ribosomal RNA". It matches the Rfam family "Bacterial small subunit ribosomal RNA", at positions 338 to 795 of the family's 1533-position model. The record is from RNAcentral.
CCUACGGGGAGCAGCAGUGGGGAAUAUUGCGCAAUGGGCGAAAGCCUGACGCAGCGACGCCGCGUGAGGGAUGAAGGUCUUCGGAUCGUAAACCUCUGUCAGCAGGGAAGAACGGUCACUGUGCUAAUCAGCAGUGAAUUGACGGUACCUGCAAAGGAAGCACCGGCUAACUCCGUGCCAGCAGCCGCGGUAAUACGGAGGGUGCGAGCGUUAAUCGGAAUUACUGGGCGUAAAGCGCUCGUAGGCGGUAUGUCAAGUCAAGGGUGAAAUCCCCGCGCUCAACGUGGGAACUGCCUUUGAAACUGGCAAACUGGAGUGUGUGAGAGGAUAGUGGAAUUCCAGGUGGAGGAGUGAAAGCCGUAGAUAUCUGGAGGAACAUCAGUGGCGAAGGCGACUAUCUGGCACAUAACUGACGCUGAGGAGCGAAAGCGUGGGUAGCAAACAGGAUUAGAUACCCUUGUAGUC